UGGGGAAUAUUGGACAAUGGGCGAAAGCCUGAUCCAGCAAUGCCGCGUGUAGAAGAAGGCGUCGGCCUUCAAAGCAUAUAUCGGGAAGAUAGGAGUAGGUCAAACCCGGCAACACUGACGUACCCGAGAGAGACC
This 135-nucleotide ribosomal RNA is filed under the name uncultured soil bacterium. RNAcentral's name for it is "partial 16S ribosomal RNA". The record is from RNAcentral.